RNAcentral lists this ribosomal RNA (584 nucleotides) under uncultured crenarchaeote. RNAcentral describes it as "bacterial SSU rRNA". It matches the Rfam family "Archaeal small subunit ribosomal RNA", at positions 326 to 879 of the family's 1478-position model. Lineage: Archaea; Thermoproteati; Thermoproteota. The record is from RNAcentral.
CGGGGUGCAGCAGGCGCGAAACCUUCGCAAUGCGCGAAAGCGUGACGAGGUUAAUCCGAGUGGCCCCCGCUGAGGGGGUCUUUUGUCAGCUGUAAAUAGGCAGGCGAAUAAGGGGAGGGCAAGCCUGGUGUCAGCCGCCGCGGUAAUACCAGCUCCUCGAGUGGUCGGGGCGAUUAUUGGGCCUAAAGCAUCCGUAGCCGGUUCCGUAGGUCCUCUGUUAAAUCCAACCGCUCAACGGUUGACCUGCAGAGGAUACCGCGGGACUAGGAGGCGGGAGAGGCGGACGGUACUCCGCGUGUAGGGGUAAAAUCCUUUGAUCCGCGGAAGACCACCAGUGGCGAAGGCGGUCCGCCAGAACGCGCUCGACGGUGAGGGAUGAAAGCUGGGGGAGCGAACCGGAUUAGAUACCCGGGUAGUCCCAGCCGUAAACGAUGCUAGCUAGAUGAUUCGUUCGCAAGUCGCGAAUGAAGUGUCGCAGGGAAGCCGUUAAGCUAGCCGCCUGGGGAGUACGGUCGCAAGACUGAAACUGGAGGCCGGUAAAACGACCUUCGGCAGUUAACUUAAAGGAAUUGGCGGGGGAGCAC